This 469-nucleotide ribosomal RNA is filed under the name uncultured bacterium. RNAcentral's name for it is "bacterial SSU rRNA". It matches the Rfam family "Bacterial small subunit ribosomal RNA", at positions 28 to 507 of the family's 1533-position model. The record is from RNAcentral.
GAUGAACGCUGGCGGCGUGCUUAACACAUGCAGGUCGAACGGAGUUACAUGAAACCUAGUGAUUGUAACUUAGUGGCGGACGGGUGAGUAACGCGUGGGUAACCUGGCGUAUACAGGGGGAUAACACUUAGAAAUAGGUGCUAAUACCGCAUAAGCGCACGAAUUCGCAUGAAUUUGUGUGAAAAACUAAGGUGGUAUACGAUGGACCCGCGUCUGAUUAGCUAGUUGGUGAGGUAACGGCCCACCAAGGCGACGAUCAGUAGCCGGCCUGAGAGGGUGAACGGCCACAUUGGGACUGAGAUACGGCCCAGACUCCUACGGGAGGCAGCAGUGGGGAAUAUUGGGCAAUGGGGGAAACCCUGACCCAGCAACGCCGCGUGAAGGAAGAAGGCUUUCGGGUUGUAAACUUCUUUUACCAGGGACGAAGGACGUGACGGUACCUGGAGAAAAAGCAACGGCUAACUACGUG